CUCCCGUCCCUUCUUCAAGUGCCGCGCCCGCCUCUGACGCCACCAGUGCGCCGGAAGUGACGCCAUCGAUCGUCAGGCAGGCGAGGGCUUUCCGGCUCUGCAAGGUCUCAGAGCCGGCCGACAUCGCUCAUACCUGAGGGUUUGAUCCCUUUGAGCGAGGAAGGAAAAGGGCGUGGAGAAACGGUAUUCGUUCGUCCUUACCAUUCCGUAACAUUCGUGAGCUGACCCUGUGCUGGGGACACUCCAGUGGCUGAGACAGCCCCAGUCUCCUGCUGCUGGAGCUCACAGUUCAGUGAGGGACAUAGACGCAUCACCAGGUGCUGGCUCAGGCUGGUAACACUUGGCACACCAGACAUUGAGUGGCAGGGGUCUCAUUUG
Hippopotamus amphibius kiboko is the source of this 378-nucleotide long non-coding RNA. RefSeq lists it as uncharacterized. The record is from RefSeq and is a predicted model, not a curated record. Lineage: Eukaryota; Metazoa; Chordata; Mammalia; Artiodactyla; Hippopotamidae. The transcript has 3 exons.